GAUGAACGCUGGCGGCGUGCCUAAUACAUGCAAGUCGAGCGAACGGACGAGAAGCUUGCUUCUCUGAUGUUAGCGGCGGACGGGUGAGUAACACGUGGAUAACCUACCUAUAAGACUGGGAUAACUUCGGGAAACCGGAGCUAAUACCGGAUAAUAUUUUGAACCGCAUGGUUCAAAAGUGAAAGACGGUCUUGCUGUCACUUAUAGAUGGAUCCGCGCUGCAUUAGCUAGUUGGUAAGGUAACGGCUUACCAAGGCAACGAUGCAUAGCCGACCUGAGAGGGUGAUCGGCCACACUGGAACUGAGACACGGUCCAGACUCCUACGGGAGGCAGCAGUAGGGAAUCUUCCGCAAUGGGCGAAAGCCUGACGGAGCAACGCCGCGUGAGUGGUGAAGGUCUUCGGAUCGUAAAACUCUGUUAUUAGGGAAGAACAUAUGUGUAAGUAACUGUGCACAUCUUGACGGUACCUAAUCAGAAAGCCACGGCUAACUACGUGCCAGCAGCCGCGGUAAUACGUAGGUGGCAAGCGUUAUCCGGAAUUAUUGGGCGUAAAGCGCGCGUAGGCGGUUUUUUAAGUCUGAUGUGAAAGCCCACGGCUCAACCGUGGAGGGUCAUUGGAAACUGGAAAACUUGAGUGCAGAAGAGGAAAGUGGAAUUCCAUGUGUAGCGGUGAAAUGCGCAGAGAUAUGGAGGAACACCAGUGGCGAAGGCGACUUUCUGGUCUGUAACUGACGCUGAUGUGCGAAAGCGUGGGGAUCAAACAGGAUUAGAUACCCUGGUAGUCCACGCCGUAAACGAUGAGUGCUAAGUGUUAGGGGGUUUCCGCCCCUUAGUGCUGCAGCUAACGCAUUAAGCACUCCGCCUGGGGAGUACGACCGCAAGGUUGAAACUCAAAGGAAUUGACGGGGACCCGCACAAGCGGUGGAGCAUGUGGUUUAAUUCGAAGCAACGCGAAGAACCUUACCAAAUCUUGACAUCCUUUGACAACUCUAGAGAUAGAGCCUUCCCCUUCGGGGGACAAAGUGACAGGUGGUGCAUGGUUGCCGUCAGCUCGUGUCGUGAGAUGUUGGGUUAAGUCCCGCAACGAGCGCAACCCUUAAGCUUAGUUGCCAUCAUUAAGUUGGGCACUCUAAGUUGACUGCCGGUGACAAACCGGAGGAAGGUGGGGAUGACGUCAAAUCAUCAUGCCCCUUAUGAUUUGGGCUACACACGUGCUACAAUGGACAAUACAAAGGGCAGCGAAACCGCGAGGUCAAGCAAAUCCCAUAAAGUUGUUCUCAGUUCGGAUUGUAGUCUGCAACUCGACUACAUGAAGCUGGAAUCGCUAGUAAUCGUAGAUCAGCAUGCUACGGUGAAUACGUUCCCGGGUCU
RNAcentral lists this ribosomal RNA (1372 nucleotides) under uncultured bacterium. RNAcentral describes it as "bacterial SSU rRNA". It matches the Rfam family "Bacterial small subunit ribosomal RNA", at positions 28 to 1381 of the family's 1533-position model. The record is from RNAcentral.